RNAcentral lists this transfer RNA (73 nucleotides) under Camelus bactrianus (Bactrian camel). It matches the Rfam family "tRNA". Rfam says of the family: Transfer RNA (tRNA) molecules are approximately 80 nucleotides in length. Their secondary structure includes four short double-helical elements and three loops (D, anti-codon, and T loops). Lineage: Eukaryota; Metazoa; Chordata; Mammalia; Artiodactyla; Camelidae. The record is from Rfam by way of RNAcentral. RNAcentral also lists the same sequence under 2 other names.
GAGGGCAUAGCUCAAAUGGUAGAGUGUGUGCUUAGCAUGCACUUGGUCCUGGGUUCAAUCCCUGGUACCUCCA